Molecule: long non-coding RNA, 221 nt
Filed under: Elaeis guineensis (African oil palm)
Lineage: Eukaryota; Viridiplantae; Streptophyta; Magnoliopsida; Arecales; Arecaceae
Description: long non-coding RNA (EGUI_LNC053508)
Source: RNAcentral
GAAACUCUUUUCCAUUAAUCACAUUACUAUGGUCAUAGACUUAAAGACUCAGCUUCUUAAAUCUUAUAGGACUACUCUUUUCUGCUAGGAUCAAUAGAUUUCAUCUAGGUACACAUCCUACUUUUACAGUAGAUCAACUGUCGCCAAUAUCCACUACAAGGACUCAUUGAGUCAAUAUUUAUGUGUAGUCAAACUCCAACAGCCUCACUGCGAGCAGCUGU